This is a long non-coding RNA of Oncorhynchus mykiss (rainbow trout), 5180 nucleotides long. Lineage: Eukaryota; Metazoa; Chordata; Actinopteri; Salmoniformes; Salmonidae. The record is from Ensembl.
GGGUGAUGUCUGAUGUCACGAUGACAGGGGCUUGUGGGUAGAGGGAGAGAGGGGGGGGGGGUGAGAGAGUGGUCCUGUGACAUCAUUCUACCUCUUAUAUACUGAGGGAAUGAAGCCCACUGCUCUUCACUUUUACAUUCACUAAAGCCAAGGGGACACAGGCAGACACUGUCACUGACAGGACGAAGAGAAGACAAGGACAAAACAGACUGAGUACAUUCCUACUCCACCUCCCACUUCUCUGUUUCUCUCUCGCUUUCUGCAUUUGACCCCUUAACCCUAUGGACUUGGGUCCUGCUUAGCUAGGGUGGAUUCAGAGUGUGGGAUUUGUACAAAGAUGCAGGCACAGCUGGCUUGUGUGCUUCUCCUCUGUUUGCCGUGUGGCGUGUUAUGUUCAGAUGUUGACCAGGAACAGCGGGCAAUAGAGGAGGAGCUGUUGAACAGUCUCUUCACUUCAAAGGUACUGCGCUGCUUCCUCUGUGCACCUGUCAGAUCUGAGGUGUGUGUGUGUGUGUGUGUGUGUGUGUGUGUGUGUGUGUGUGUGUGUGUGUGUGCGUCCGUGCACACAGUUAGUGCCCCUGUAGUGCAGGUGCUCUUUUAUGGAGCCUGGAUAUGUCCGCUUUCUCUCUUGUUCGUUUUUGUUUCAAUUGAAUUGGCUCAUCAUGGAUUCUAUUUGUUCAUAGUUUCACAGGUUUCUGGGUUAGUGUUAAGAUAUACAGUCUUUGAGAUUAACAUAAUGUUCCAUCUAGAACAAUCAAUAAAGCUUUCAAAAUCACAUCAUCACUUUUCAACUCACACAUGCAUACACACACGCAUAGGAAUGAUAAAGGGUUGAAAAUGAAAUUAUUUAGGUAUAACAUAAUUGCUUUUUAUUUUUAUUUUUAUAUAUGACCAUUUAUCGUGCCAGAUACUCCGUAGACAGGCAAGAGGAAAUGAAGAAGAUAGAACUGGAUCUAGUGGAGCCUGGAGACUGAUUACCUGAGCUAAUACCAUUCAGAUGGUCCUGACAGCAACAUAGCGCCUGCGCGGCCGAAACACACACAUGCACACAGACACGCACAUUCUUGUGCACACACGUUUGCACAUGAGCACACACACAUGCGUGACACGCACACAAACGCAUACUCUCUCUCAAUCCCUACUCCCUCCUCCCCACUCUGUCUGAUAAAUGAAUGGAGAUGAGAGGGACACACUGAGACAUGACUAUGACAAAUAAGCUCUGUUAUUUAUCGCUUACAAUGUUCCAAGGGUUCCUUGGGGGGCUGAUUGUAAUCGUAAGUCACCAGAUGACUGAUAGAGUGCUCUAGAUUAGAAGACACCGGAGAGGCAGUGUUGUAGUAGACACUUGUGGCUUUGUCUUUUCCCCUUUUCUUUUACACACAGAUUAUAAACAUACAUGGUUAGGUGGGGGAUCCGUUUCCUAAUGUUGGAAUCGGUUGACUGUUGUUUCAAUGACACUUGUUUGCAGGCUGUGAAACAACAGUUUUGUUACUUCAUGAAGCAUCUGUCAGGUCAAUGAAUAACUGCUGCAUGUAUAUGCAUAUGCUGACACAGAUAACUAAGGUCAGGGCGUGACAGUGUUUUAUGUAUUAUUUUGGUCAGGUCAGGGUGUGACGAGAGUGGUUAUGUGUGUUUUUGUCCUGUCUAGGGUUUUUGUAUGUCUAGGUAAUGUAGGUCUAUGGUGGCCUGAAUUGUUUCCCAAUCAGAGGCAGCUGUUUAUCGUUGUCUCCGAUUGGGGAUCCUAUUUAGGUUGCCAUUUUGGUUUUGUGAGUUAUUGUGUAUGUGUAGUUGCCUGUCAGCACUUGUUAUUGUAGCUUCACGUUUGUUUUGUUAUUUUGUCAGUUUGUUAAGUGUUCUUCGUUUAAUUAAAAGAAGAAGAAUGCAUUCUUAUCACGCGGCGCCUUGGUCUCCUCGUUCUGACAAACGUGACAGAAUAACCCACCAAACCAGGACCAAGCAGCGUGAAAAGGAGGAACAGCACAUAAUGGGGAAAUGGACCUGGCUCCCCCGUCCUAAGGAGGAGAUAGAGGCAGCGAAAGCGGAACGGCAAUACUACGAGGAGAAAUACCGGAGAAUAGAGGAACGGUGAUGAUAUUAAGGUACAAGGCUAGCACGAAAGCCCGAGAGGCAGCCCCAAUAAUUGUUUAGGGGAGGCACACAUGGAGAUUGAAUCAGUCAGGUCGGAGACCUGAGCCAACUCCUUGUGCUUACUGUGGGGAGCGUGUUACUGGUCAGGCACCGUGUUAUGCGAUAGAGCGCACCGUGUCUCCAGUGCGCUAUUCUAGCCCGGUGCGCUCUAUUCCAGCUCCUCACAUUGGCCGGGCUAGAAUGGGCAUCCAGCCAGGAAGGAGGGUGCCGGCUCAGCGCGAAAAUAAACAUCCACCCAGGACAGGUUGUGUCAGCUCUACACUCCAGACCUCCAGUGCGCCUCCACAGUCCAGUACAUCCUGUUCCUCCACCCCGCACUCGCCCUGAGGUACGUGUCACCAGCCCAGUGCUGGCACCACGCACCAGGCCUACAGUGUGCCUCGGCAGUCCAGUACGCCCUGUUCCUGCUCCUCGCACUCGCACUGAGGUGUGUCCCCAGCCCGGUACCACAAGUGCCGGCACCACGCACCAGGCCUACAGUGUGCCUCAGCAGUCCAGAGCGUCCGGCGACAGUACCCAGUCCAGAGCUUCCGGCGACAGUACCCAAUCCAGAGCCUCCAGCGACGGUCCCCAGUCCAGAACAUCCGGCGAUGGUCCACACAGCGAGGGUCCCCAGCCCGGGGCCUACGGUGAGGAUUCUCAGUCCAGAGCCUCCAGCGAUGAUCCACGGGUCAGUGCUACAAGAGCGGGCUCAAUGUAAGGAAGGGGAGCAGCGUCCAGAACCAGAGCCGCCACCGAGGGUAGAUGCCCACCCGGACCCUCCCCUAUAAGUUCAGGUUUGCGGUCGGGAGUCCGCACCUUUGGGGGGGGGGGGGGGUACUGUCACGCCCUGUAAUUAGUUAGUUAUGUUUUAUGUAUUAUUUUGGUCAGGUCAGGGUGUGACAAGGGUGGUUGUGUGUUUUUAUCCUGUCUAUGGGGUUUUUGUAUGUCUAGGUAAUGUAGGUCUAUGGUGGCCUGAAUUUGUUCCCAAUCAGAGGCAGCUGUUUAUCGUUGUCACUGAUUGGAGAUCCUAUUUAGGUUGCCAUUUUCCAUUUUGGUUUUGUGGGUUUUUGUCUGUGUAGUUGCAGCUUCACGUUCGCUAAGUGUUCUUUGUUUAAUUAAAAGAAGAAUGUAUUAUCACGCUGCGCCUUGGUCUCCUCGUUCUGACGAACGUGACAGACACUUGAUUUUCUUAAUGGACAAUAAUGUAAUUAGAACAUAGAAUGAUGACUAAAUCAAUUGGUUAGGUGAGAUCAAUUCCAUUUUUCCAAAUUCUGGAUAUACCAGUAGUCACUGUCUUAAAAAUGUCUGAUGUAGAAAUCUAGCCAGUAACUAAUCUCGCCACCCAGAGCUGUCAUGAGAAACACAGAAGUGGGGACAGGGGCUACUUGAAACGGCAGUUAAUCCCUGUACUCUGGUUGCUGGCAUUAUUGGACUGCUCCAUUAAAACUAUUUUCCAUCCCUCAAUAAUUAACUGACAAUGAGAGGGAACACACUGGGGAAAGAAGGGGCUACAUCGAAAUGUAAUGUGAAGUGACCUUUCUGCACAAUUAAAAGGGUACCUACCUCUCGUCUCAACACUCAGUGUCUUAACAAACUGUUCAUUUGGAAGUUAACAAGAGCUAAUUUGUAUUUGAGGUUGGUAGGGUUUUCUAAAUGUCAAUAUCGUAAGGAACUCACAGGAGUAUCCAACAGACUAAGACGUCCUUUCUGUGGUUUAUCCUCAGUCUGCUCAGUACAAAAUAAUCCACUCUGACAUUUCUCCCCCAUGGCCUCCAAAUCCAUAUGUAAUAUCUAACAACUCAACAAUGGAGAUGCAGAAAAUAAAAGUGUUGUCCUUUGCCAUCCAUAAAGGAAAGAUAAUGGGAUUUAAAAUGAUUUAGAAGCACCAAUCUUCUGUUCCUUACGACUCAGUGACACCCGGGAGGGAGUCUGGGCUGUGCUGUGUUAACGAGUCGGCCCACGCACAGAGGCCCCAACGGGCACCGAUAGGAGCCUCACACCAUCCAAAACCACACACUCAAAAUAGAUUAUGAUACAGCAGGAUUGAAGCUAGUUAGAUCUGACUGAUCCAUGAGAGAGUGCAAAGGCAAAGCACACCUAUGCACACACGCAAGUGUUUAUGUAUAUUGUAGUCCUAGUAUUUAUUUAUAUGCUCCUCCUAGAUGAAACAGAGCAAGCAGGGCGCCCCCUACUGGCGUGUGUCCCUGGUGAAUGUGUGCAGGAUGGUGAACAGCCUGAUGAAUAGCCUGUCGUGGAGAGAACAGGAGGAGUAUAACACUGAGGAGGAGCUGUGGGAGAGACUGGCCUCCCUUCCUGAGCCCCUGGACAAGCUUCUAGACCUACUGCAGAUCUGCAGAGUGCUGCAGCCCCGAGAGGUGAGGGACACCCAUACCUACAAAAACAGAUGCUCAUGCACGGAGAGCAAUUCUCACAUUUGAAUAGAACAUCUGUCAUGCAGUCAUAUACAUUUCAAGUGAGUCACACAAACACACACACAGUAAACACGCACAGGGAUAAGCACUCUAGGGCCUAGAGUCAAUCAGAUCAAGCGUUAACCGGCGAUAGCAGACACCUGCAUUGCAGAUGUUUUGGCGGAGUUGGAACUGCGUUGGCACCGUCAAAUUGGUGAGCAGCUGCUCUUGCUAUCAUUUUCAUGAAGUCACAACCACCCCACUCAUGUUAAAGUUCAGAAUGAGAAAGUGGAGGCUAGAUAGAGAUAAUGACGCUGAAAUCAAAAAAUCAUUCAACGAAAUAAUGAGGAUUUCUAUCUUCCGAAUCGAGGUGUAGAUUACAUCUCACAUUCCAGUGUUCGAACUUGUAAACAAGGCUGCAUGGGAUUUCUGUUAAUGCGACUCAGUGCAGCCAAUGGCAAUGUUCGCUUUAGCUAUAAUGCCGGUAGCCACUUGUGGAUUUGAAAACUCUAACGCAGUUCCACCUCCUACACCCCCAAAACAACCGCUAUGAGGAUGUUGGCUGAAGAAAAUCUGAUUGUAUCAAGCCCUUAGUCUACAGCAGGGAUGGGCACCUCCUCAGAGGCGGAGUGGUGUCCG